This is a long non-coding RNA of Nicotiana attenuata, 461 nucleotides long. RefSeq lists it as uncharacterized. NCBI's taxonomy places the organism in Eukaryota, Viridiplantae, Streptophyta, Magnoliopsida, Solanales, Solanaceae. The transcript is spliced from 2 exons. The record is from RefSeq and is a predicted model, not a curated record.
UAAGCCAAUUGGCCAAGUAAAAAGCCCCAAACCUAUCCCUUCUUUUCUAGCUCCAGCCGCCACCCUUCUCUUCUCCAUCUCCGUUCUUUAUCAAUCUUAUUUAGCUGGCGUUGUUUUUCUUUAUCAAAAAUGGCUGGCAAAGAUGUGGAAUUAGUAGAGCUCCAUUAACAAGCUAAGAGAUGUUGAUCAAGCUAAGAUGCAGAUGAAGAUAAUUGCAGGAAAGAAAGGAGAAGAUCGUACAACAUUGGGUCUCAAGCAAGAUAUUAGUACUAUAGUUGGUGUCAUCAAUUAUGUACUCUAAAUACUUUGAAAUUUAAAAAUACAAUUAUGUAUCAGUUGUAACUUAUUUGGAAUCUAAAAAAUGUGUAUUCCUAGUUACAUAUACAAAUAUUCUUGUACUAACAAAUCAUGUGAUAGAUUUUUCAAUUUAUAGCAAUAAAAUUACUGAAUUAGCAGCUAAA